Vanessa tameamea is the source of this 9870-nucleotide long non-coding RNA. RefSeq lists it as uncharacterized. NCBI's taxonomy places the organism in Eukaryota, Metazoa, Arthropoda, Insecta, Lepidoptera, Nymphalidae. The transcript has 3 exons. The record is from RefSeq and is a predicted model, not a curated record.
UGGUAUAAAAGCGAUUUAUCCGAGAUUGCCCCACCAUACCUUUACCAUUAGUGUAGUGGCGAGGUUCUGUUGUAUCGUAAUGAAUUUUAGGAUAAUUUAGUAUUAGGUUAAAGAUAUUCUUAAAGUAAAAUGUAGCACUAAGAUUAUUAUAUUUACCAUAAAAUGUUCUGGAAUAUGAAGUUUCUAUGAGAGGUGGCAAGUUUCGUUAGGAGUCCUUAAGAUGGCCGAGUCAUCGCCCGGUUGAUUGCGUAUCCUUGAUUGUCCUUAUCUAUCCAAGGGAAGUUACAAGGAUAAAGAUGUAAGACUCGGUUUAACUCGUCGAACAUCAUGGCAGGUCGAUUACAUCCCUUACAUUAGGCCAGUACUUUAGCAGAUUCAAAAAGUAUUUAUAUGGCUCGCGUCGGUACGAACGCUAAGGAAUACGUCCGGUCAUCGGUGUAGAAACGUCCCCGUUUAGGGAUCUUUCUAGUUGGUUACGCAGAUGUUUAGUUGGAGCUACAGGCAGGCUUGUUCGCUAUGUAUCACGGUAGCCACGAGAUAGCUAAAGCUCUUAGUUACGAUCAUUAUACUCCAACUUGAGUUUAGAUGUUACUGGCUGAAAUAGUUACAUUUGUAAGUUUCGGAUACAUACAGAUUCAAUUACAUUUAUACAUUACAAAGUAAGCUUGUAUUUUUACAUAUUAUAUUUAAUAUUGUUAUUGUAACUGAAGAUAAGAAAUCUUAUCUUUAGGUCGUAAUUCAAUAUAUUUAGAAUAUUAAAAUCGUACAUGAAUUAUUAGAUACGAGUUUAAAGUUAGUUAUCACGAAAUAUAGUAGACUAAGAUACGAACGUUAAAAUAAAAUCGGGCGAUGACGUACUAUUAAUUUAGUAUUUAGAUUACUUUUAGGUUCGUUAUAACAUCACAUUAAGCAGUUGAUUUUGUCUAGAUGUAGCUUACUUUUAUCUUAGUUUUAUGAUAUAUAAUAUGAUAGAAUAAUGGUAAAUUUUAGUAAUCAAUAAAUAAAUGUAUUAUUUUUUCAAUAUAAGAUAAUUAUUAAUGCUAAACUAAGUAUGAAUCAUUCGUUAUUGACACAUCCUUUUAUACUUAUGUAUGUAUAUAUGUAUAUAUCUAACGCAUAACAAGUUUAAAAAGCGUAGAAUUAAAGCACUCAUGCGCAGUGACCUAACACCUAUUAGGCAUCGUUUAGGAUGAAUUAUACCUGAAAUAGUGUAAUACACGAUGGUAGGUUAAAACAAAAUAAGAUUAUUUUUAGUUGAGUCUAUUAUACCAAAGUGGGCACGUUGAACGGUAUUCAUCAUUUCGUUUAAUAGUAGUGUUUAGAUGUAAAAACCUAGGUGCAACAAGAUAUCUAGUAAAUUUUACGUACAAGAAAUAAACAUUUUAGGUACACUUUGAUUAACGUGAUGUAAUAUCGUCAUUGCUCAGUAUCUUAAAUAACAUCAAGUCAUAUUUAUAAAAAAAUACGGGAUAAAAAACAUUAAAACUCGUAAUCGGUGAUUUAUGUACGUGAAGAUGUUAAAAUAUACGAAAAAUGUAAUUUGUCAGAUCAGAUAAUAUGAAUAAAAAAAAUUACACCUUAAUUUUCAAACUAUUUAAAAAACUAAACUAAUAUUGUUAAAAAUUUAAUAAAAGCAAAACCAGUCACACAGUUCUUUUUAUUUUUGCAACUAAUCUUUUUUUCUUUUUAGCCCUUUUCCUACCUUAAAAUAUAUUGAGUUAAGUGCUAUUCAAAGUAACAUUAAAUCAGGAAUUUCAACACAUAUACAUAUGUAUAUAUAUAUAUAUAUAAAACAAUAAUUAAUAAUUUGAAAGAUACGGGAAUACUUGAACAAAAACAGAAUAAGAGAAUAAAAACAUAAAAAACUAGAGAAGAAUAUAUCAAUAAUAAUCAGCUUUACAGUUACUAGAAGAAUUAGGCUAUACAAUCGGAUGAUACUCGUAGCGUGUUCAUUAGUUUGGAUUGUGGGGAGAAGUUUUGUGUGCAGUUGUAAUAGUGAUAACGUUUUUUUUAAGAAAAGUAUUAUAUGUACCACGUGAAAGUUUUAAGUUUAGUGAUAUUUUGAUAAACGAGUUGAUGGUAGAUGUAAUGAUAAUUAUUCACUGUUAUUUAAUUAAAAAGAAUAAUGUUCGAUAAGAUUACUAAGAUUUAGAAAAUAGAGAGAAAUAAUCAAUAUUCUGCGACAUGACCAUAUUGAAAAGGUUGAAUUAAUUGAUAAAAGUAAUUGAAAUAGAGAGCAGAGUUGAUUCAAAAAUUCAAAAAUGUUUUUUAAUACUCAAAUAAAUACUCAACAUACGUCACAUUUACGUUGAAAAUAGCUUCAAAACAAAAGGAUGAAAAAAUCGCAAGAUAUUCUCGUUUAAGUGUGCAGUUAGUGUCAUAGUGGAAUGUUUAAUUAGUGAUAAUGAGUUUUUAUUUAAAUAUUUAUACGGAAGAAAAGUUAUACAAGUUAAAAUCUAUAUAAAAGUAAUAAUUUGAAAAGGUAUAGAAAAUACCGCAAUGAGUGAAAGAGACUUGAUAAAAUCGGUAAUGAUUACAAUAAAAAUAUCCAGAAAAAAUAAUGCACUGAUUUUAAACUACGAAUAUUUGUAGGAUUUCGUUCAUGGAAAAUUACAUUAAGAUAUACAUUUUUGAACAACUAAUUUCUACUCAGCAGAAAAGUAAUUCGCUAUUAGAAAGGAAAAUAAGGAAAUUUCCCUAUAAUCAUGGAAAGGGUAAUACUGACGUUAACAUCGAGAGAUAUUAGAUAACAUAUAUGUACAUUAAAAAUCAGAUAUAAUGAACAGCUCAACCGUUCCAUUUUUACAGCAUUUUGUAAGACAUGUAUUAAUGCCACUUUGGAAUAGAUUUCAUGAUUACAUUAAAUGAAUGCUUUAAGUAUCUUAACAUCUUCAAUUAGCCUUAAAAUAGGAAGCAUUAGAGGCCCUCAAUUUUACUUACCUUAUGCAAUUGGUUGAAGUAUUUUAGGAUCUUAAAAUAGCAAUAGAGGUUAAACUUACCAAAAACGUAAUAACGGAUGUUUUAAAAGAAAAUGACGGAAACUAAAACACUAAGAACAAUUUCUACUACGGAAAGAAAUCAGAAAAAUCAAAACAAAUUAAAAAGAAACGUAUACCUAAUAAACGAAGCCUAUAUUUAUAUUUAAUAACCGAAGAAACUAUUUAAUCUAACAGAUAUAAUCACUACAAAUUUUAUAAUUACAAGUACACAAAUACUCAUGAUAUUUUAUUGAAUUGGCCACAUGAGAAAUCGAACUUAUGAUGACUUCGCCUUAGGUGAGUCCAAGAGAAAGAGAAUGACAAGAAUAUUUCUUGCAUAAAUUAAAUAUUUGUAUUAUGUAAUAUAUUAUAUACUAAUAUUUUUUUUAUCUUCCUCAACUAUCUUUCCUUUUUUCGUUUAGCUUUUUUAAUUCCAGAUAAAUAACAAUAUUGGUAACAAGAAUGUUAUACAAAAUCAAAUGUUAACACAAAAUUAUAAUUUUAACAUUACAAGAUUACAAUGAAUAUUAUUUGGCUUGAAACCGUAUUACAUUUAAAAAUAAUGCAUAAUAUAGUGCGAUAUUGGCUUGACCUUUUUUAUAUUUAACUAUUUAAACUAAAAUUGGUACAGCAUGGUCUAGAUUGUUUAACACUAGGGAUAGUCACAAUUCACAGCUGACUGCACUGAAUAGCACUUGGAUGACCUUUGGUUGAUGAGUAAGGUUUGUUUUUAGCAUCUGCUUGUAAAUAUAUUUUUAUUUGUUCGAUAUAUCACGUGAUUCGUCUUCCCUGCGUUUCGAUCCAUGUGGAUACAUCGAAAACGUAGUACACACCUUACUAUGCUUAUCAGCGCCACAUACAUUGUUCAAGUAAUUUAUUUCAGAGAAAGGAUAAUAUUUAAUGUUCUAGGCUUAAUUGGGAUUACUUGUGGUGAUUAACAAUUUUCUUUGGAUUUGAGCAUGAGAUUUAUAUUAUAGGAGGGAUUGGACUAGUCAAUUCGCGAGUUGUUUGUUAAAUUGUUGCUAUAAGAGUGUGAAAGGCUUGGAUAUUACUAGUGCAUUUCUGCAGAUAUACAUUCGACGCUUUUCACGCCUUUGAGAGUUAGGAUCAUGAUUGUCACCGGUGUCCAUACGGGUAUGUAAUUUUUAUUAAGUCACAAAUUAAUAACGAUACACUACUAGCGCCCUAUUUCAAUGUUUUUAUGUAACGUUAUUUCUCUCACAGUAUUAAUAACAAUUUACAUACUCGCUUUACUUAUGUGAAAUGGUUUUAUAUAAUAUAUUACGUUGUGAUUAAAAAAAUUUUUUUUUUUGAUGCAAUUAUCAUAAAUUUUAUUUCAGUUUGUGUAUCGGUUACACGGUUCUUUUGGUAUUGUACUUGUUUUACUCGUUACAAAACAGAAUUUUCUUUAACAUUUCUUAAAUUUUAAUUUCAUAAUACAGCACGACUAGGUCAUUAAUAUUUUGUUUUCAGCUAAUCUAAUCGAUAGAAAAUUUAGAAAGAGCAAAUUUUCUACAUUGCAAUAAAAAUUACAUUAAUACACACUAGAAUAAAUGGAUUUAUACACGGAGAAGAUUGUUCCUGCACCAUAUUGCUUUUGAAUCCACGAUUUUAUCAUUAUGCCAGUUUGUUUCUUCGCAUUAUAGUCGUCUGUAAGCUCAGGAAAUACCCACCAAGCUUGAGUCACGUGGUUUGUUUGUGGUUCCGUGUAACAAUUAUAAAACGAUAUUUUGAUAAAACGCAAUAUGCUAACUAUCCAAAGUGGUUCUACUAUGUAACUAAAGUAACCGUUGCUGCUUCCAUGCAUCGUCCAAGUCUUCUUAAAAAUAGAUAUGCUUUUAUUUGCAUUUCAAUGAUUUUUAUGUUUGUAGACACAGUUCAUUUUGAUUACAAAAUUUUCUGUGAUCUUUAUAAAAUGCACCAACAAUUCUUUGUGGCUAACUUUAACAUGUGAAUGAGCAUGGAGCUAGAUGGAAUAUGUCAUAUGAAAUCGCGAUUUCUUGCAGGUUUAGAUGGUGUGUGAUAGUUAAAAAUUUGUUGUCACUUUAUUAUUCUUAUAAUAUGGCACAUACAUCGAUGUUGGGUUUACUAGAGGCAAUGCAAGAUUUUCAUGAGUACAAUGCGAAAAUAUGUGCUUAAGUUAUUGUUCAUCUUAAUGCUACUCAUCGGUGUUUAUGUAAUAUAUUAAAGAUCUUUUAUCCCUCAUUGUAUUAAAUGCUUUUUAUUUUUAAUAGAGCUUUAAUAAUUUGUGGAAUGUCACUAUGAUACUCUUUUAAUACUAUUGCUGUGGUGAUUCGUCCCUUUAUAGUAAAGAUGUAAGGUCCAAAAUUAGUGUUUAUACCCAUUAACACUUUUUUCAGUCCUGGCAUAUGUUGUCGAUAUGUUUUGUAUAUGUUAUAUAAUAGUUAACACUCCAGUGUAGCGAGUAUGUUACUCUGUAUCACAGGAUAUGCUUUGGGAGAAUGAACAGUAGGAUCACGAGUGCGAGAACGAGCUGUCGCUUGAAAAUGAAUUCACUUCAAUUUAUUAUAUUAUGCUUAAACGCUUUUGUAGGAUUAAUGCCUUAACGACCCAAGAAGUAAUUAAUCUCUGCAAAAAAGAAAAACCAAAUUAAGUUUGUCUUAUUUCGUUUGUUGUGGUUAAGUGUUCGUUUGCCGUUUGUUAGUAAAAUUAGUUCUGUUUUUUAGUGAAAAAAUUGUGAAUAGUGAAAAUGAAAGCAUGAAUACAAAAGUUACGUUUAUUUGAAAUGGUUUUAGCAAUCUAUUUACAGUUAAUAUUUAACAAAAGUAACUAAAGCAGACUUGUAAUCAUGAGAUAAAUUUUAGUUCUAAGUGUCAGUGGUGAUGUGUUGUGAGUUGAAUUGGGAAGUUUAAAAUAAAUAUAUUGCAAAAAGUUAAUUAUAUUCAUAAAAUAAUUAUAGUAUAGAGAAAUGAGAAAAGUUGAGUUCAUGUGGAAAGUUGGUGUUAGUGAGAUCUAAAUAGUUCUCAGUUUGAAUGCUUUUUCUGUUAUUAAUAUUUUUUCUUACAGAUAAUUAUAUAUAGUCAUAUAAAUUAAGUAUAAUAAAUGUUAAAACGUCAUUAAAACUCGAUGCAAUAAAAUAUAUUAGAAAACUAUAACCACUAUUAUUUACAGAUUAAUGAAAUUAUUUUUAUAAUAAUUCCAGGAACGUAAAAAACUUUUUUUCUUAACUUUUUUUGCAGUUGCCUGUUUUUGACGGCGUUUAAUUAAAUAACGGUUUACGUUAUAUAAAUGAAAAACGUAUAAAUGCGUACAAUAGCAAAACAUGUAUAAAAAUGAGAGAAAUUAACAUGCCGAGAGUUUUGUUUUAACGUUUUAAUUUCAGUUAAAUUUCUAAGAUUCCGUAGGCUCGAUAUCGGCAGAGUAACAUAAUACGAAUAUAAUGUAGCUCUACACAUACGACACCGAACGAGAAAAAUAUAGGUAACUAAUAUAAUAAGAAUAUUGUUAUAAUAAAUUAAAAACUAUGCUAGCGUUAGUAAGGACAUGUACUUUCCCCUUGUGCCUUUUUUUAUAUUAUUACAGUUCGUGAUUUUAUGGCGUCUGUCGUGGUUUCGGUGAUCCAACCAGCGGCGUCUGCGUAUAAUUAUAUUUUUCUCAAACUUAUUUUGCAGGUAGUAGACAUUCUUCGCUUGCGUUUAAUCGGUGGAUAUUUUAUUAUAACAUUAAAAGGUAAAUCUGAACAAAAUUGUUUAAGAUUAACAACAAAUGUCCUUUCUUGCAGAGACAAUACAUAACGAUAGAUGCAAUCAAUAUGAAUACAUAUUUAACUUAAAUUUAAACAAAUAGGAAAUAUUCAUAUAAUCCAUAAAUAAUGAUGUACAUUUCAAAGUUUUUUUUAUUCUCCUAUCACUAAAGAUUCUUGAAACUUUUUUUUGCAUAUAAGCAUCUAAAUUUAUAUUUUUUAUAAUUAUUUUUAAUUUUAAAGAAGCUAGAUGACGUCACUUCACGCCGACGCGGUCACUGCUUACAAUAUAACGUUUUUACAUAUAUUUUUUUACCAUUAUUUAGACACAUCCAUUCGGAAUGCUAGUGAUCAGUUCAAUUCAACAGAUUUAUAACAACACAUUUGACUUAUUUGGUUGUACUUCGAUAAUUUUUAUGUCGAUUGUAUAUAUAAAAUGCUUCCUAUUAUUUACUUAGGAAAUUAUAAACUUUGUUUUUGCGUUUUUCGUGUAUCUUUUUACAGUUGAGGGUCUCGACAAAACCUAAACGUAUUAAUCUGAUCGAGUGGAAUGCGGGCUACGAAAUUUAAUUUUGCACAAAGGCAACAAAUGAAAACGGUAUGAUAGAAUAUAGCCUACUCCAAAAAUUUUUUGCCCUAUUUAUAUGUAUUUUAUUUCAAUUUGAGCUUUACGGCGCAUGCAGCGGAAUAGGUAGCAAACCAAGAUUUUCAUUUGUCAUUAUCUAACAAAGCAGAAAUGCUUAUGCUUUUUUUCGUGUCGGUACAUUUUUGCAGUUCCGGAUUCUUUCCUGACGCCUUGUCACGUUCCACGUAACUCCCGAAGGAGAUUAAAUUAAAUUUAAAGAAUUAACAAGGCAUAAUUUAAGCUAAUAAUAGUACAAUAUAAAGGAAAAAUAUUGAGGCCUGAAUCUGCAGUCAUGCACGGACUUUGACUUCAAAGUAGCAGGUAAAAUUUUACCUUUAGUUCGUGUUUUUAUAUUUAUGUUCACAGUUACCAGAUACGAGGUCGUUUAUAUAUAUAUAUAUAUAUAGAGAACGGGCGGAACAAACAUACGGUUAUGUUUAAAAUAAUGUCAUAUGACAUAGUAAAAAACUUAUAAAUCAGGUAUUUAAAUUAUUUACAUUAAUAACUGUAAUCUUUUAAACACUAAGCCUUUUUGUUUGCUUUUCUGCGUGCUCUUUGAUCUUUUUACAGUUGAAGAUUUCCGCACCAGUCUAAACAUCAUUUCCUGACAUCGAAUUAAAUUCAAUGGUUAUAAAUUGGUAUGAAUACAUUGUUUGCUGACACCAAGUAGAAUAUGUUGAUGCCAAUGACGUGUUAGAAGCAUGACUAAAGUUAAACUAGUCUUAAAAUCUCUAACCCUUUACCUCUAACGUCGUUUUCUUGUGUCCCUUAAUUAUUGUUUGCAGUUAUCACGCUGGCAGAUAGCGGCAUACACUACGAAGGACAACAAAUUCGAGCCUGUUAGCCUAACCAAAAUCUGAUUGCACUCGUAAGCAAAAUCCGUAGGAGCCACUGUACUGUACGACUCAAUAGUAGAAGUUAUUGUGACACUCGCAUGUUUAUUUUCAACUACACUACACAUCAACCUAUAUAAAAAGAUUUGAGUAUGUUUUUUUCGUGUGCCUCGAAAUUUUUGCAGUUCAGAGAUUCGUGCAGAUAGAUAUUCUACGGAGAAAGAAAACGAUUCUACGAUAGUAAACGUCGACGGUGUGUUGGUUCACUUGCAUUGGCUGUGAGUUGUAUUUUACGCCUUAUACCCUAAAUAAUUAGUCUAUUAUCUUAGCUAUAAUAGUUACUGUAAUAAGAACGAUGUAUCGACGCAGUUUCAUGGACCGACAGUAAGAUUCUGUCUCGGAAUAUCGUAUGUAUUGGCCAUGCCGCAUAUUAUAGACGUAACGUCGCUGAUGCUUUCAAUUAGACAACUUCGAUCUAAAUAGGUAUUUAAUUUAUUUUUGCAUUUCUACGCGUAAAUAACAUCACUACAUCAUUUUUGUGUAGCAAGUUCUGUGUGUAUGUGUUGUUAGUUUUAGCGUAAGAGAUAGUAUUAACGUUAGGUUCUGCUUAACUCUGGUACGCAAGGGUCCAUGAUCAUCUCAAACUAACUAGGUAUGAAAAUACGAUUUCUUAAUCUUUUAACAGGUAUUAAUAUCUAGCGAUAGAAAGUCGAAUGAAAAACAUUUGAAGUAAAUGUUUGCCUGCGAGAAAUAUAUUCGUGUCGUCCUAAUUGGUACGUAAGUUUGGUAUUUGAUGAAACAACGAUGAAAGUAUUUGGCUGGUAGCGGGUUUAUAUACAAAGUAUGUAGAUAUUUAGAAGCAUAUUGGUGGUUGUUUUCUUUCGAAUGCUUGAGUAAUAAGUACUGUGGAUUGAAUAGUUCGUAUCAGUGAACGCAGGCUAUCGUAAGUUUUAAUAUUAUUUUACAGCUUUGAAAAAUCAUGAACACAAUAAAUUUAUACAAUAAUUUAAGAUUUACUUAUUACCUCAAUAUAAUUAACAAGAAGUUCCUAAUAUGUGUUAGGUCUUAAUAUUUAAAUUAAUAUAAUAUACAUGAAUAGUAUUAAACAUAAUUUACUUUAAUCUUUAGAUUAUAAAUAUAUAAAUAUAAGUAUCAUGUCACCGAAAAAUAAGCUUAAGAUUUAUUAUAACGAAAAUACAAUUUAUAGUAAUUGUUUGAUAACAUGGUUUUUCGCAAUAUUUAUGUUCUAUUUUUUCAGAUAUACAAGCAAAAAUUACCAUUGAAAUGUAGACAUAAAAAACUUGCCACUUAGGAUAAAUGUAUUUAAGGCAGUACCUACAUAGGUAGGUUAGUAGGUACUUACUUAAACUAUUAACUUAAUUUUUUCAAAUAAUUUUCAGGUUAAUUUACUAAUUCGUAAAAACCGGGCGAUGACAUAUAGGGGGUUUUAGUCUUUAAGUAUCAAGUUAUGUUUCACAACUAUCGAACUAGGCAGAUAUAUAUGUAUUUUAAAAAUUAUAUAUUACCAAAUCAACAUCAAAAUUAAUAUAUAUAAUUCAAUACAAAAAUUGGCUAAAAUUCAAUUUAAAAAAAAUGGUGAUGCCUGUGGAGUUUCUUGCGCCGCUUCUUCUCCACAGAAGAACACCUUCCGAAGCGGUAGUAGAUAUUUUCAAAAUUUAAAAAAUGUAAAUUAAGAAUAAAACAAUGAAAAUAAAUUCAAAGAUAUAACUA